This is a long non-coding RNA of Eriocheir sinensis (Chinese mitten crab), 1436 nucleotides long. RefSeq lists it as uncharacterized. Lineage: Eukaryota; Metazoa; Arthropoda; Malacostraca; Decapoda; Varunidae. The record is from RefSeq and is a predicted model, not a curated record. The transcript is spliced from 3 exons.
AUUGAAAACUAAGAGGUAGUUAUAUGCUUUGUUUUGAGAGUAGUUAGCUAGUAUUGAAAACUAAGAGGUAGUUAUAUGCUUUGUUUUGAGAGCAGUUAGCUAGUAUUGAAAGCUAAUAGGUAGUUAUAUGCUUUGUUUUGAGAGCAGUUAGCUAGUAUUGAAAGCUAAUAGGUAGUUAUAUGCUUUGUUUUGAGAGCAGUUAGCUAGUAUUGAAAGCUAAGAGGUAGUUAUAUACUUUGUUUUGAGAGUAGUUAGCUAGUAUUGAAAGCUAAUAGGUAGUUAUAUACUUUGUUUUGAGAGCAGUUAGCUAGUAUUGAAAGCUAAGAGGUAGUUAUAUACUUUGUUUUGAGAGCAGUUAGCUAGUAUUGAAAGCUAAGAGGUAGUUAUAUACUUUGUUUUGAGAGCAGUUAGCUAGUAUUGAAAACUAAGAGGUAGUUAUAUACUUUGUUUUGAGAGUAGUUAGCUAGUAUUGAAAGCUAAGAGGUAGUUAUAUACUUUGUUUUGAGAGUAGUUAGCUAGUAUUGAAAGCUAAGAGGUAGUUAUAUACUUUGUUUUGAGAGUAGUUAGCUAAUAUUGAAAACUAAGAGGUAGUUAUAUACUUUGUUUUGAGAGUAGUUAGCUAGUAUUGAAAGCUAAUAGGUAGUUAUAUACUUUGUUUUGAGAGCAGUUAGCUAGUAUUGAAAGCUAAUAGGUAGUUAUAUACUUUGUUUUGAGAGUAGUUAGCUAGUAUUGAAAGCUAAGAGGUAGUUAUAUACUUUGUUUUGAGAGUAGUUAGCUAAUAUUGAAAACUAAGAGGUAGUUAUAUACUUUGUUUUGAGAGUAGUUAGCUAAUAUUGAAAACUAAGAGGUAGUUAUAUACUUUGUUUUGAGAGUAGUUAGCUAGUAUUGAAAGCUAAGAGGUAGUUAUAUGCUUUGUUUUGAGAGUAGUUAGCUAGUAUUGAAAGCUAAUAGGUAGUUAUAUGCUUUGUUUUGAGAGUAGUUAGCUAGUAUUGAAAGCUAAGAGGUAGUUAUAUACUUUGUUUUGAGAGUAGUUAGCUAGUAUUGAAAGCUAAGAGGUAGUUAUAUACUUUGCUUUCGGGGUAGUUAACUGAAAUUGAAAGCCCCAAACGCUCUCCCAGGUGUAGUUUUCAUAGUGUGCGUGAUUAGAUGUUAAAAUAUAAAUUCGUUCACUGCCUAACGACGUAACAGUCAUGGCGGGGUUACCAGACGCUGUUCGGCCACUUCUCUGAACUAUGUGAACCGUCCCGGCGAAGCUUCGAACCACUAAACUAUCGAUCAGAGGUUCGUGCAUUCCUCCUUGUUCAAUCCUCUCUCUCUCUCUCUCUCUCUCUCUCUCUCUCUCUCUCUCUCUCUCUCUCUCUCUCUCUAUCAUUUCCUCCCCUCCCCUUUCCUUUUCCUUUUCUUCCAUUUCCCUUCCUUUUCCUUCCUCACCUUUC